This 367-nucleotide ribosomal RNA is filed under the name uncultured organism. RNAcentral's name for it is "bacterial LSU rRNA". It matches the Rfam family "Bacterial large subunit ribosomal RNA", at positions 2099 to 2465 of the family's 2925-position model. The record is from RNAcentral.
CUUUACUGUAGCUUUGCAUUGGACUUUGAACCAAUCUGUGUAGGAUAGGUGGGAGGCUUUGAAGCGGGGACGCCAGUUCUCGUGGAGCCAUCCUUGAAAUACCACCCUGGUUUGUUUGAGGUUCUAACCUUGGCCCAUUAUCUGGGUCGGGGACAGUGCAUGGUAGGCAGUUUGACUGGGGCGGUCUCCUCCCAAAGUGUAACGGAGGAGUUCGAAGGUACGCUAGUUACGGUCGGACAUCGUGACGAUAGUGCAAUGGCAUAAGCGUGCUUAACUGCGAGACUGACAAGUCGAGCAGGUACGAAAGUAGGACAUAGUGAUCCGGUGGUUCUGUAUGGAAGGGCCAUCGCUCAACGGAUAAAAGGUA